Molecule: ribosomal RNA, 377 nt
Filed under: uncultured organism
Description: partial 16S ribosomal RNA
Rfam family: Bacterial small subunit ribosomal RNA
Source: RNAcentral
GGGGGGGGGGGGCAAGCGUUGUUCGGAAUUACUGGGGCGUAAAGGGCGUGUAGGCGGUCCCGCAAGUCUUUCGUGAAAUCCCACAGCUCAACUGUGGAACUGCGAGGGAAACUGCAGGACUUGAGUCCGGGAGAGGAGAGUGGAAUUCCCAGUGUAGCGGUGAAAUGCGUAGAUAUUGGGAGGAACACCGGUGGCGAAGGCGGCUCUCUGGACCGGUACUGACGCUGAGGCGCGAAAGCUAGGGGAGCAAACGGGAUUAGAUACCCCGGUAGUCCUAGCCUUAAACGAUGAGCACUUGGUGUGGCGGGUAUCGACCCCUGCCGUGCCGAAGCUAACGCAUUAAGUGCUCCGCCUGGGGAGUACGGUCGCAAAGGCUG